CCUACGGGUGGCAGCAGUGAGGAAUAUUGGUCAAUGGACGAGAGUCUGAACCAGCCAAGUCGCGUGAAGGAUGACUGCCCUAUGGGUUGUAAACUUCUUUUAUCUGGGAAUAAAAUGUUCCACGUGUGGGCUUUUGUAUGUACCCUAUGAAUAAGGAUCGGCUAACACCGUGCCAGCAGCCGCGGGAAUUCGGAGGGUCCGAACGUUAUCCGGAUUUAUUGGGUUUAAAGGGAGCGUAGGUGGAUUGUUAAGUCCGUUGUUAAAGUUUGCGGGUCAACCGUAAAAUUGCAGUUGAAACUGGCAGUCUUGAGUAGAGUAGAGGUGGGCGGAAUUCGUGGUGUAGCGGUGAAAUGCUUAGAUAUCACGAAGAACUCCGAUUGCGAAGGCAGCUCACUGGACUGCAACUGACACUGAGGCUCGAAAGUGUGGGUAUCAAACAGGAUUAGAUACCCGAGUAGUC
RNAcentral lists this ribosomal RNA (460 nucleotides) under uncultured bacterium. RNAcentral describes it as "partial 16S ribosomal RNA". It matches the Rfam family "Bacterial small subunit ribosomal RNA", at positions 338 to 795 of the family's 1533-position model. The record is from RNAcentral.